RNAcentral lists this ribosomal RNA (669 nucleotides) under uncultured bacterium. Its description in RNAcentral is "bacterial SSU rRNA". It matches the Rfam family "Bacterial small subunit ribosomal RNA", at positions 140 to 807 of the family's 1533-position model. The record is from RNAcentral.
GGGACAACCCGCCGAAAGGCGGGCUAAACCCGCGUACAUGCCACCGGGGCAUCCCGGAGGCAGGAAAGGCUUCGGCCGGACAGGGAUGGGCAUGCGGCGCAUUAGGCAGUAGGCGGGGUAACGGCCCACCUAACCGACGAUGCGUAGGGGUUCUGAGAGGAAGGUCCCCCACACUGGUACUGAGACACGGACCAGACUCCUACGGGAGGCAGCAGUGAGGAAUAUUGGUCAAUGGUCGGGAGACUGAACCAGCCAAGCCGCGUGAGGGAGGAAGGUACAGAGUAUCGUAAACCUCUUCUGUCAGGGAACAAAGACUGGGACGCGUCCCCGGAUGAGUGUACCUGAAGAAAAAGCAUCGGCUAACUCCGUGCCAGCAGCUGCGGUAAUACGGAGGAUGCGAGCGUUAUCCGGAUUUAUUGGGUUUAAAGGGUGCGCAGGCGGUCUGUUAAGUCAGCGGUCAAAGCCCGGGGCUCAACCCCGGCCCGCCGUUGAAACUGGCAGUCUCGAGUUGGAGAGAAGUAUGCGGAAUGCGCGGUGUAGCGGUGAAAUGCAUAGAUAUCGCGCAGAACUCCGAUUGCGAAGGCAGCAUGCCGGCUCCACACUGACGCUGAGGCACGAAAGCGUGGGUAUCGAACAGGAUUAGAUACCCUGGUAGUCCACGCAGUAAAC